Molecule: ribosomal RNA, 405 nt
Filed under: Macrostylis sp. ML08
Lineage: Eukaryota; Metazoa; Arthropoda; Malacostraca; Isopoda; Macrostylidae
Description: partial 16S ribosomal RNA
Rfam family: Bacterial large subunit ribosomal RNA
Source: RNAcentral
GGUAGCAUAAUCAUUUGUUCUAUAAUAGAGAACUGGGAUAAAAGGGAGAACAACUCUAAAACUCUUUAGCCUAUUCUUAGAAAUUAAUAUCUGCAUUAAAAAGUGCAGCUAGGUUGGAGGGACGAUAAGACCCUAUAAAACUUUAUCAUUUUCUCUAAAAGUUUAGUAGAGAAUUAGAGAGAGGUGAUUGAACUGGGGCGGUAUCUAAUACUCUUUAGAAAAGAUAACACAUAAAGUGAAAAGCUUUAUCCUAAAUGGAAUAAAAGUUACUUUAGGGAUAACAGCGCAAUUUCUUAAGGUGGUAACAUUUUAUGAAGACUUGCGACCUCGAUGUUGAAUUGAGGGGCCAGGCUCCUUUUUGAAGUCUUGGGGGUCUGUUCGACCUUUAAAUCCUCACACGAUUUG